This 916-nucleotide long non-coding RNA is filed under the name Homo sapiens (human). RNAcentral describes it as "HSALNT0045832". Lineage: Eukaryota; Metazoa; Chordata; Mammalia; Primates; Hominidae. The record is from RNAcentral.
AGUAGAGACGGGGUUUCACCAUGUUGCCCAGGUUGGUCUUGAACUCCUGACCUCAGGUGAUGCACCCACCUCGACCUCCCAAAGUGCUGGGACUACAGGCAUGAGCUACCAUGCCCAGCCCAGAAACCUUUUUCUUUUAUUAGCAAAUAAACCAAGUCCAAGCAAGAGCAAGUAAGCAGCUCUCCUAACAGGAUCAUAGGGAUAUUUGGAUUCUCACUUACCUCAUCUGUACAAUUAUGACCAAGGAUAAAAUUGCCAUCAGGGAGCAAAUGGAAAGAACACCAAUUGUUUUUAAUUCCUAUGCAAAUCUACUAGGUCUCCUAUUUUCCCUUUAAACAGGCUUCGGAAUACUAAUUCUCAUCACCUCACCAGUGUUUUAAGAAACAUGCUAUCAUUUCAGGAAUUAAUUCGCUUCUCAGUAGUUUUUGCUGGAGAGCACAAUAUUAGGUAGAGAAUGACAGACAUGAGCUACACCAGCUGACUAAUCCGGGCAAAAUAAGUUUCCAGGUGCAGAUAGCACAAAGACUGAGUCGUAAGAUAUCUGUAAGGGGACUGCCACACAAAGAGGGCUUCUAUUAGGCCACUGCCCUACUCAAAACAUUCAUGAUGUCCCACCACACACAGGACAGAUUCCAAGCCUCUUGGAUAAGACUGAAGCCCUCCAUCACAGCCCAUCAAUCCGUUUCCUGGAGUUCGGAACCACAGCCAUGUGCCUCAUCAGUGUAAGACUGAGUCUCAGCUCUCACUUCAAGGAGGACUCAAGACAAGCAAAAGAAGUAAACUUUUGCUGGGUGCAGUGGCUCACGCCUGUAAUCCCGGCACUUUGGGAGGCCAAGGUGGUGGAUUACUUGAGGUCAGAAGUUUGAGACCAGCCUGGGCAACAGAAUGAAACCCCAUCUCUACUAAAAAUACAAAA